RNAcentral lists this unclassified non-coding RNA (23 nucleotides) under Glyceria striata. RNAcentral describes it as "partial 26S ribosomal RNA". Lineage: Eukaryota; Viridiplantae; Streptophyta; Magnoliopsida; Poales; Poaceae. The record is from RNAcentral.
CGACCCCAGGUCAGACGGGGACU